CUAGAAACACUGUGAAUAAUUAGCCAAUGCCAGAAUGCUACCCCCUGCUCCACGGCACCUGGUCCCAUCGACCACCCAAGGGCUGAGGAGUGCGGGCGCACAGUGCAGGACUGGCAGGCAGCUCCACCUGUGGCCCAGGUACGGGAUCAACUGGGUGAAGCCAGCUGGGCUCCUGAGUCUGGUGGGGACUUGGAGAACCUUUGUGUCUAGCUAGGGGAUUGUAAAUACAACAAUCGGCACUGUAUAUCUAGCUC
This 254-nucleotide long non-coding RNA is filed under the name Pan troglodytes (chimpanzee). Its description in RNAcentral is "long non-coding RNA NONPTRT011661". Lineage: Eukaryota; Metazoa; Chordata; Mammalia; Primates; Hominidae. The record is from RNAcentral.